GGUUAAGCGACUAAGCGUACACGGUGGAUGCCUAGGCAGUCAGAGGCGAUGAAGGGCGUGCUAAUCUGCGAAAAGCGUCGGUAAGCUGAUAUGAAGCGUAAUAACCGACGAUACCCGAAUGGGGAAACCCAGUGCAAUUCGUUGCACUAUUGCAUGGUGAAUACAUAGCCAUGCAAGGCGAACCGGGGGAACUGAAACAUCUAAGUACCCCGAGGAAAAGAAAUCAACCGAGAUUCCCCCAGUAGCGGCGAGCGAACGGGGAAGAGCCCAGAGUCUGAAUCAGUUUGUGUGUUAGUGGAAGCGUCUGGAAAGUCGCACGGUACAGGGUGAUAGUCCCGUACACAAAAACACACUGGCUGUGAACUCGAUGAGUAGGGCGGGACACGUGACAUCCUGUCUGAAUAUGGGGGGACCAUCCUCCAAGGCUAAAUACUCCUGACUGACCGAUAGUGAACCAGUACCGUGAGGGAAAGGCGAAAAGAACCCCGGCGAGGGGAGUGAAAUAGAACCUGAAACCGUGUACGUACAAGCAGUGGGAGCCCCACCACCAAAGCAUUCUCUGGUGUUAAAGGCCAUGCUGAAGCUCAAUCACGCGUUGGCGGAGCGUCCUUUGCGACGCUCAACACAAAAAAACAAGCGGUGAGUGCUUUGGGGUGGGGUGACUGCGUACCUUUUGUAUAAUGGGUCAGCGACUUAUAUUUUGUAGCAAGGUUAACCGAAUAGGGGAGCCGUAGGGAAACCGAGUCUUAACUGGGCGUCUAGUUGCAAGGUAUAGACCCGAAACCCGGUGAUCUAGCCAUGGGCAGGUUGAAGGUUGGGUAACACUAACUGGAGGACCGAACCGACUAAUGUUGAAAAAUUAGCGGAUGACUUGUGGCUGGGGGUGAAAGGCCAAUCAAACCGGGAGAUAGCUGGUUCUCCCCGAAAGCUAUUUAGGUAGCGCCUCGUGAACUCAUCUUCGGGGGUAGAGCACUGUUUCGGCUAGGGGUCCAUCCCGGAUUACCAAACCGAUGCAAACUCCGAAUACCGAAGAAUGUUAUCACGGGAGACACACGGCGGGUGCUAACGUCCGUCGUGAAGAGGGAAACAACCCAGACCGCCAGCUAAGGUCCCAAAGUCAUGGUUAAGUGGGAAACGAUGUGGGAAGGCAUAGACAGCCAGGAUGUUGGCUUAGAAGCAGCCAUCAUUUAAAGAAAGCGUAAUAGCUCACUGGUCGAGUCGGCCUGCGCGGAAGAUGUAACGGGGCUAAACCAUGCACCGAAGCUGCGGCAGCGA
RNAcentral lists this ribosomal RNA (1275 nucleotides) under Yersinia ruckeri. Its description in RNAcentral is "partial 23S ribosomal RNA". It matches the Rfam family "Bacterial large subunit ribosomal RNA", at positions 1 to 1211 of the family's 2925-position model. Lineage: Bacteria; Pseudomonadati; Pseudomonadota; Gammaproteobacteria; Enterobacterales; Yersiniaceae. The record is from RNAcentral.